Molecule: long non-coding RNA, 1533 nt
Filed under: Gouania willdenowi (blunt-snouted clingfish)
Lineage: Eukaryota; Metazoa; Chordata; Actinopteri; Blenniiformes; Gobiesocidae
Description: lncRNA (ENSGWIG00000022583.1)
Source: RNAcentral
AUGAUAGGACCGUCACACUCUAACAUGAUUGGACCGUCUCACUCUAACCUGAUUGGACCGUCACACUCUAACCUGAUUGGACCGUCUCACGCUAACCUGAUUGGACCGUCUCACGCUAACCUGAUUGGACCGUCACACUCUAACCUGAUUGGACCGUCACACUCUAACCUGAUUGGACCGUCACACUCUAACCUGAUUGGACCGUCACACUCUAACAUGAUUGAACCGUCACACUCUAACCUGAUUGGACCGUCACACUCUAACCUGAUUGGACCGUCUCACGCUAACCUGAUUGGACCGUCACACUCUAACCUGAUUGGACCGUCACACUCUAACCUGAUUGGACCGUCACACUCUAACCUGAUUGGACCGUCACACUCUAACCUGAUUGGACCGUCACACUCUAACCUGAUUGGACCGUCACACUCUAACCUGAUUGGACCGUCACACUCUAACCUGAUUGGACCGUCUCACUCUAACCUGAUUGGACCGUCUCACUCUAACCUGAUUGGACCGUCACACUCUAACCUGAUUGAACCGUCUCACUCUAACCUGAUUGGACCGUCACACUCUAACCUGAUUGGACCGUCACACUCUAACCUGAUUGGACCGUCACACUCUAACCUGAUUGGACCGUCUCACGCUAACCUGAUUGGACCGUCUCACGCUAACCUGAUUGGACCGUCUCACGCUAACCUGAUUGGAUCGUCUCACUCGAACCUGAUUGGACCGUCUCACUCUAACCUGAUUGGACCGUCUCACUCUAACCUGAUUGGACCGUCUCACUCUAACCUGAUUGGACCGUCUCACUCUAACAUGAUUGGACCGUCUCACUCUAACAUGAUUGGACCGUCUCACUCUAACAUGAUUGGACCGUCUCACUCUAACAUGAUAGGACCGUCACACUCUAACCUGAUUGAACCGUCUCACUCUAACCUGAUUGAACCGUCACACUCUAACCUGAUUGGACCGUCACACUCUAACCUGAUUGGACCGUCUCACGCUAACCUGAUUGGACCGUCUCACGCUAACCUGAUUGGACCGUCUCACUCUAACCUGAUUGGACCGUCACACUCUAACCUGAUUGGACCGUCACACUCUAACCUGAUUGGACCGUCACACUCUAACCUGAUUGGACCGUCUCACGCUAACCUGAUUGGACCGUCUCACGCUAACCUGAUUGGACCGUCACACUCUAACCUGAUUGGACCGUCACACUCUAACCUGAUUGGACCGUCACACUCUAACCUGAUUGGACCGUCACACUCUAACCUGAUUGGACCGUCACACUCUAACCUGAUUGGACCGUCACACUCUAACCUGAUUGGACCGUCACACUCUUACCUGAUUGGACCGGCUCACUCUAACCUGAUUGGACCGUCUCACUCUUACCUGAUUGGACCGUCACACUCUAACCUGAUUGGACCGUCUCACUCUAACCUGAUUGGACCGUCUCACUCUAACCUGAUUGGACCGUCACACUCUAACCUGAUUGGACCGUCUCACUCUAACCUGAUUGGACCGUCUCACUAA